This is an RNA transcript of Homo sapiens (human), 2828 nucleotides long. It is a transcript of the gene named ubiquitin specific peptidase 50, with no coding region annotated. The record is from RefSeq and is marked validated. NCBI's taxonomy places the organism in Eukaryota, Metazoa, Chordata, Mammalia, Primates, Hominidae. The transcript has 7 exons.
CCUCCCACCUCGGCCUCCCAAAGGGCUGGGAUUACAGGUGUGAGCCACUAUGCUCUGCCAUAAUACAAUUUUAGACUCCAAGUUCCAAUACUUCCUGUCCUUGGUAGGGAAUGUGUUUGGAGGAAGUCUUAUUAAGAACUCUUCUUUAUUUCAUAAUAUUAAGAGAAGCUUAUUGUCAUUUGUACAUAUUUUGUUCUCUCAAAACCCUUUCUUCCCAUGUGGCACCAACACAGUGCAGAGUGCACAGAUUACUAUGAUACCCUUCCAGUUAAGGAGGCUGAUGGGAACCAGCCCCAUUUUCAGGGUGUCACUGGCUUGUGGAACUUGGGCAACACAUGCUGCGUGAAUGCCAUCUCACAGUGUCUCUGCAGCAUCUUGCCGCUGGUGGAAUACUUUCUCACCGGGAAGUAUAUCACCGCUCUGCAAAACGAUUGCAGUGAAGUUGCCACUGCUUUUGCCUAUCUGAUGACAGACAUGUGGCUGGGAGACUCAGACUGUGUCUCACCAGAAAUAUUCUGGUCAGCUCUUGGCAACCUCUACCCAGCAUUUACGAAAAAGAUGCAACAAGAUGCUCAGGAAUUCUUGAUUUGUGUCCUAAAUGAACUUCAUGAAGCUCUAAAAAAGUACCACUACUCCCGGAGAAGAUCAUAUGAGAAAGGAUCUACUCAGAGAUGCUGCAGGAAGUGGAUUACCACUGAGACAUCCAUCAUCACCCAGCUGUUUGAAGAGCAGCUCAAUUAUAGCAUCGUAUGUUUAAAGUGUGAGAAAUGCACCUACAAGAACGAAGUCUUCACUGUCUUCUCACUCCCCAUUCCAUCCAAAUAUGAAUGCUCCCUUCGGGACUGUCUCCAAUGUUUUUUUCAACAAGACGCACUGACCUGGAACAACGAAAUUCACUGCUCCUUUUGUGAAACCAAGCAAGAAACUGCUGUGAGGGCCAGUAUUUCCAAAGCACCAAAAAUAAUUAUUUUCCACCUAAAAAGGUUUGACAUUCAGGGUACAACAAAAAGGAAGCUGAGAACGGAUAUUCAUUACCCACUCACUAACUUGGACCUCACUCCUUAUAUUUGCUCAAUUUUCCGGAAAUAUCCUAAAUACAACCUCUGUGCAGUGGUGGACUAGAUCUUUUCCAUCAAUUGGAAAAAUCUGGAUGAAAUUAUUUCUGCACUUAAUGGUAUCGUUAACAUAUUUUAUCAUUAAAAUACUUUAAAAAUUAUAAAUUUUAUUUAACACAUAACUAAGUCUGUUAUGCUUUAGUCUGCUGUUUGAAUGUUACAUUUCAUGUGCUAAUUUGUUUGAAUUAUACUGUAAUAUUUUUAUACAUUUUCACUUGAUGCUUUGUAAUUAUUUAAAAUUAUAAGGAAUUACAUGAAAUAGUGGUAUUGUCAUUUUGCUGUGGUACUGAAAACACUGAGGUGAACUAACAGUCUCAUUUCUGCUUUAUUUCCCUAGAUCUACUGUAACCAGAUAAUCGCCCUUUGUUAUGUGCCCAUGGCAGGCAGUACAACAAGUAUAAAUUACACAGAACUUAAAAUUCCCUCAUUUAAUUUCACUGAACAGGAGGACAAACUUUCCCCUUUACCGUUUCAGAUGCACUAAAAGCACAGGUGGUAACUUCCAGAUUUCUAUCUUUUUUAGAGAAUCCCGUCGAGCUCUGCAAUGACUGCAGUAAAAUCUGUUGUUAUCUGUGAGUUUUUCUUCUUUGGAAAAUAAUCUAAGGCAAUCCUGGCAGAAAAAAACAAGUAGCAGAUACUCGUUAAUUCGAUUCUUCAAUAAUGUCAGAGAGCACCUAUUUAGUUAGUCACUCUGCAGGCACCAGUGAUUCAACAGCAAUCUACACAAAAGAGUUCCUGCCUUCCCAAAGCUUGUGAUCUAGUGAGAAGCAUAGACAAGUGAACAAUGACAGCACAGAGUGUGGCUCACCACCAGAUUCUCAUCUGAAUCUGACUUGCUUACAUCCCUUCAGCUUCCUUCUUUUGGCUGCAAGCCCUGCAUGGUCUCCUCAUCAUCAACAGGCUCCAGUUCAUGACAGCGAGGUUCUGCCUUCUGGCACUGCUCUCAUCCUGUCUGUCCUUUACUAAUCAGAGAAGGCUUUACUCUUUUUUGAGAUAGGGUCUCAUUCUGUCACCCAGGCUGGUGGAGUAUAGCGGCACAAUCACGGCUCACUGCAGCCUUGACCUUCUGGGCUCAGGUGAUCCUCCCACCUUAGCCUCCCAAGUAGCAGGGACUAUAGGCAUGUAUCACCACACCUAGCUAAUUUUUGUAGAGACGGAGUUUUGCCUUGUUGCCCAGACUGGUCUCAAACUCCUGGGCCCCAAGUGAUCUGCCCACGUCAGCCUCCCAAAGUGCUAGGAUUACCAGUGUGAGCCACCAUGCCCAGCCUUCAUUAUUCCUAAGGAUAAAGAUAUUUUCCCCUUUCCUAAUUUGACUUUUCUGGAGCUGAGUGGUAAGUACUAUGGUUUGAAAGGUAAAAUGGGUUCUUGAUGUCAACAUGAAAUUAUUCACAUACUGUAGCCCUACACCAAAAUGCUUACUUAUUCAUAGGUUACCACCAGAUUCACGUCAAAUAUUCCAAAAUUCAGGUGUUGCCAAUGUGACAGGAUUAAGAGAUGGGGCCUUUAAAGAGGUGAUAAGGCCAUGAGGGCUCCCCUCCCGGGUGAACAGGAUUAGGUGCCGUUUAGGGCUCGACAGGACGAGUCUGUCCUCUUUCGCUUCCACCUUCUACCCUGUGAGGAUGCAGCAAAAAAGCGCACCAGAUGCCGGCACCUAGACGAUGGCCUUCCCAGUCAAGAACUAAGAGAAAAUAAAUUUUUGUUCUUUACAAAUUA